CACCAAAGUAUGAAGAUUAGAUCUUCUCUAUUUAUUUUUCUCUAUUUAAUUUUUAUAUCUGAAUCCAAUCUCACACAUGUAGAUCUUAUUUUAUAGUUUUAAGAUUUGAUCUUAUGCAUGCUUAGAUUAAAUUAGAUUUAAUCUGAAUUUUUAAUUUUCACUGCAUACUUGUUUUAAAAUUUUUGCAUGCAUAAAAUCAUGAAAUCUCAACAGUGGUAUCAGAGCUACAUCAU
Molecule: long non-coding RNA, 233 nt
Filed under: Elaeis guineensis (African oil palm)
Lineage: Eukaryota; Viridiplantae; Streptophyta; Magnoliopsida; Arecales; Arecaceae
Description: long non-coding RNA (EGUI_LNC056015)
Source: RNAcentral